UACGUAGGGUGCAAGCGUUGUCCGGAAUUAUUGGGCGUAAAGAGCUCGUAGGCGGUCUGUCGCGUCUGCUGUGAAAACUCAGGGCUUAACCCUGAGCUUGCAGUGGGUACGGGCAGACUAGAGUGCGGUAGGGGAGACUGGAAUUCCUGGUGUAGCGGUGAAAUGCGUAGAUAUCUGGAGGAACACCGGUGGCGAAGGCGACAUCCUGGACCGGUAUUGACGCUGAGGCGCGAAAGCCAGGGGAGCAAACGGG
RNAcentral lists this ribosomal RNA (253 nucleotides) under uncultured bacterium. RNAcentral describes it as "partial 16S ribosomal RNA". It matches the Rfam family "Bacterial small subunit ribosomal RNA", at positions 524 to 776 of the family's 1533-position model. The record is from RNAcentral.